UACGUAGGGGGCAAGCGUUGUCCGGAAUCAUUGGGCGUAAAGAGCGCGUAGGCGGCCCAGUAAGUCCGCUCUGAAAGUCAGGGGCUCAACCCCUGGAUGCGGGUGGAUACUGCUGGGCUAGAGUCCGGAAGAGGUGAGUGGAAUUCCUGGUGUAGCGGUGAAAUGCGCAGAUAUCAGGAAGAACACCCGUGGCGAAAGCGGCUCUCUGGAACGGUACUGACGCUGAGACGCGAAAGCGUGGGGAGCGAACAGG
RNAcentral lists this ribosomal RNA (253 nucleotides) under uncultured bacterium. RNAcentral's name for it is "partial 16S ribosomal RNA". It matches the Rfam family "Bacterial small subunit ribosomal RNA", at positions 524 to 776 of the family's 1533-position model. The record is from RNAcentral.